Entelurus aequoreus (snake pipefish) is the source of this 1303-nucleotide long non-coding RNA. RefSeq lists it as uncharacterized. The record is from RefSeq and is a predicted model, not a curated record. The transcript is spliced from 3 exons. NCBI's taxonomy places the organism in Eukaryota, Metazoa, Chordata, Actinopteri, Syngnathiformes, Syngnathidae.
GCACAGUUGGCAUGCAGGAUGAGGCGGUGAAAGAAGAGGACGGAUUAAACCAAAUAAGACAAAUUCAAUCGAAGGAGGCGAAGGCAACGGCCGACAAACCUUACGACCCGGCGGGCAAAAAAACCGGCGGAGCUGGGUCUGCCGGCACCUCCGUUGGCAGUGCGCCUAGACACACCCCUGCUCGCGCUGGCCGCAUCACGCCGAUGAGCGAUCAGCGGACUGAUCGAGGGCAAGCUGAAUAAAGACCAGUGGACCCAGGGAUCCUUGCCGGAACUUAAUCUUCUGUCGUGUACACAGUCUGCCUUCGUCCCCGCGUUGACGAGCCGUGCGUCUCGUCAGCCAUAGUUUUCUCUGCUUGCCGGACUGCCAUCUUCGAUCCUCGACCCCCGCUUGGACACGGACCUCCCGCGCCUCGCCAUUCGCCCUGACCAUCUGCCUGCCCCAUGGACUGCCUUCAUGCCUUGUUCCUCCUCUCGAGUCAACACUAGGUAAAACACUCAAGUAAUUACCCACACCACCUAGUCUAACACCACACACUCUUGGAUUUUGGUCACACUCCAAUCUCUAGCCUAGUUUAUUUAUAGUAUUAUUGUUGAUUAUUAUAUAUAUAUAUAUAUCGUAAUAUAUAUAAUAAAAUACAUAGCCCUAUACUUCCCCCUUGUGUCUGUGCCGUCAACUCCCUCCUGCUAAACAUCCAUCCAUCCAUUUUCUGGGGUCGCUGGAGCCUAUCUCAGCUGCAUUCGGGCGGAAGGUGGUGUACACCCUGGACAAGUCGCCACCUCAUCGCAGGGCCAACACAGAUAGACAGACAACAUUCACACUCACAUUCACACACAAGGGGACAAUUUAGUGUUGCCAAUCAACUUAUCCCCAGGUGCAUGUCUUUGGAGGUGGGAGGAAGCCGGAGUACCCGGAGGGAACCCACGCAGUCACGGGGAGAACAUGCAAACUCCACACAGAAAGAUCCCGAGCCCGGGAUUGAACUCAGGACUACUCAGGACCUUCGUAUUGUGAGGCAGAUGCACUAACCCCUCUUCCACCGUGCUGCCCAUAUAUUGUAAUAUAUAUAAUAAAAUACAUAGCCCUAUACUUCCCCCUUGUGUCUGUGUUGUCAAUUCCCUCCUGCUAAACAUCCAUCCAUCCAUUUUCUGGGGUCGCUGGAGCCUAUCUCAGCUGCAUUCGGGCGGAAGGCGGUGUACACCCUGGACAAGUCGCCACCUCAUCGCAGGGCCAACACAGAUAGACAGACAACAUUCACACUCACAUUCACACACAAGGGGACAAUUUAGUGUUGCCAAUCAAC